GUCGAGAAUCUUUCACAAUGGGGGCAACCCUGAUGGAGCGACGCCGCGUGGAGGAUAAGGUCUUCGGAUUGUAAACUCCUGUCAUGCGUGAACAAGGUUGCUUGGUUAAUACCUGGGCAAAUUGAUGGUAACGCAAGAGGAAGAGACGGCUAACUCUGUGCCAGCAGCCGCGGUAAUACAGAGGUCUCAAGCGUUGUUCGGAAUCACUGGGCGUAAAGGGUGCGUAGGUGGCGUGGUAAGUCAGAUGUGAAAGCCCGGGGCUCAACCUCGGAACUGCAUCCGAUACUGCCAUGCUAGAGUACUGGAGAGGUGACUAGAAUUCUCGGUGUAGCAGUGAAAUGCGUAGAUAGCGAGAGGAAUACCAAAGGCGUAGGCAGGUCACUGGACAGUUACUGACACUGAGGCACGAAGGCCAGGGGAGCGAACGGGAUUAGAUACCCGGGUAGUCC
RNAcentral lists this ribosomal RNA (449 nucleotides) under uncultured bacterium. RNAcentral describes it as "partial 16S ribosomal RNA". It matches the Rfam family "Bacterial small subunit ribosomal RNA", at positions 354 to 796 of the family's 1533-position model. The record is from RNAcentral.